This is a transfer RNA of Buchnera aphidicola (Cinara tujafilina), 72 nucleotides long. It matches the Rfam family "tRNA". From Rfam's summary of the family: Transfer RNA (tRNA) molecules are approximately 80 nucleotides in length. Lineage: Bacteria; Pseudomonadati; Pseudomonadota; Gammaproteobacteria; Enterobacterales; Erwiniaceae. The record is from Rfam.
GCGGACAUCGUAUAAUGGAUAUUACUUCAGCCUUCCAAGCUGAUAAUGUGGGUUCGAUCCCCACUGUCCGCU